RNAcentral lists this ribosomal RNA (899 nucleotides) under uncultured bacterium. Its description in RNAcentral is "bacterial SSU rRNA". It matches the Rfam family "Bacterial small subunit ribosomal RNA", at positions 1 to 903 of the family's 1533-position model. The record is from RNAcentral.
UUAGAGUUUGAUCCUGGCUCAGGAUGAACGCUGGCGGCGUGCUUAACACAUGCAAGUCGAACGAAGCACCUUAUUCUGAUUUCUUCGGAAUGAAAAAUUUGGUGACUGAGUGGCGGACGGGUGUGUAACGCGUGGGUAACCUGCCUCAUACAGGGGGAUAACAGUUAGAAAUGACUGCUAAUACCGCAUAAGACCACAGCACCGCAUGGUGCAGGGGUAAAAACUCCGGUGGUAUGAGAUGGACCCGCGUCUGAUUAGGUAGUUGGUGGGGUAACGGCCUACCAAGCCGACGAUCAGUAGCCGACCUGAGAGGGUGACCGGCCACAUUGGGACUGAGACACGGCCCAAACUCCUACGGGAGGCAGCAGUGGGGAAUAUUGCACAAUGGGGGAAACCCUGAUGCAGCGACGCCGCGUGAGCGGUGAAGUAUUUCGGUAUGUAAAGCUCUAUCAGCAGGGAAGAAAAUGACGGUACCUGACUAAGAAGCACCGGCUAAAUACGUGCCAGCAGCCGCGGUAAUACGUAUGGUGCAAGCGUUAUCCGGAUUUACUGGGUGUAAAGGGAGCGUAGACGGAGUGGCAAGUCUGAUGUGAAAACCCGGGGCUCAACCCCGGGACUGCAUUGGAAACUGUCAAUCUAGAGUACCGGAGAGGUAAGCGGAAUUCCUAGUGUAGCGGUGAAAUGCGUAGAUAUUAGGAGGAACACCAGUGGCGAAGGCGGCUUACUGGACGGUAACUGACGUUGAGGCUCGAAAGCGUGGGGAGCAAACAGGAUUAGAUACCCUGGUAGUCCACGCCGUAAACGAUGACUACUAGGUGUCGGGCAGCAAAGCUGUUCGGUGCCGCAGCAAACGCAAUAAGUAGUCCACCUGGGGAGUACGUUCGCAAGAAUGAAACUCA